GGGAGAGGGCAGAAGGCCGUAGAAACCAAGACUGCAAAAAUCAAAACUCUAACAACACCAUCACAAGGAUGGCCUGAAACUCACUAAAUAGACUAGGAUGGAAUCCUCCUGCCUCAGUCUUCCAAGUACAGGGAUCACAAAUUAAACAAGGGAAGCAGGAGAAGAAGGAGCUGGCACGCACGCACGGAGAGGAGGUGGUGUGCCUCCAGCGGGGACUUGUCGGACACCAGCUGUGCACUUUCUAACAUCCUAGAGACUUGUUGCAGGAUCGCCCCAGGAGCCGUGCCCACCCUGAAUGGAGUUCUGUCUGACCCAGGAAGGUUCCAGCCAUGUCAAGCAAGGAACAGAAGGCCAUGAAGUAAAGUGCCAAGUGCCCGAGGGUAGAUAAGACCCUCCAUCAGAAGACUCCAAGAACCGAGAUGCAGUCAACCCUGCGGACAAUCCAGUAGUUGGUACCAGUGAGAUGGGCAGUCAUUGCUCAGAUUCAGAUGU
Molecule: long non-coding RNA, 492 nt
Filed under: Mus musculus (house mouse)
Lineage: Eukaryota; Metazoa; Chordata; Mammalia; Rodentia; Muridae
Description: predicted gene, 60535
Source: RNAcentral